Sus scrofa (pig) is the source of this 4026-nucleotide non-coding RNA. NCBI's taxonomy places the organism in Eukaryota, Metazoa, Chordata, Mammalia, Artiodactyla, Suidae. The record is from RefSeq and is a predicted model, not a curated record.
AAGCCUGGGGUAGAGCAUUUUGAGAAGCGGCUUCUCUUCCGCUGUCCCGUGGUUUUCUGGCCACAGGCUUCGUCGCUAAAAGGAUCACCCUGGACUUUCUAGACCAAGGACAUCUGAGUGUUGGAGUACCAACUGCCAGAGAUGAACACUCUGUCUGACAGUAAUGAAACUGAGAGUCCUGUUCUGAAGACCAUCCCCUGGAGUGUCCCUGACUUACCAGAUUCUGCUUCAUCUCUUCUGCUUCCUUAAUGAGCUUGAUGACUGCGGAGUCAUCAUUCCCCUUCCCUGCCAUGAUCCGCCUCAUGAUCUGCAGACUAGGAAGAAAAGAUCAUAAACCAGAAUACUUCCUAAAGAAUAAUAUUAAUAUUCUACGAUCUGGUAAAAACUAUUCUACCAUGGGAGGAAAAUGGGGCUGAAAUCGCAGGGGUUAUGGAAGUCCUCUGGACAGACAGGAUCUCCAAAGGACAAUUUCAUUCCUCAUUGACAUUUGCCUUAGGAAAUCCUAACUGGGAACCCUUACCUUCUUUGUUUUUCCUCCAAGUUAGACAUCAGCUUCUGGAAUAAUAGACUGUUCUUAUCUUCUAGAGGUUUUAAUAUCUCUAGAAGUUCCUGCUUCCUUAGCUUUAAGUCCUCAUUCAAUUCCUUCAGGUAGUUACCACUUGGCAUCUUCCGUCAGAGAUUCACCUUGUUUUUGAGGAUAAGUAAGAUCCUGGAGAGUUUGAAGCACUUGUCAUCUUGAGGAAAACUUCUACUCUAAGAAUAAAAACGUAUCCUUGAAAAUAUGAACCUUCUUGUUCCAUUCAUGUAUUCAGCAAAGAUGCAGACCUUGAAGAUAGCUGACAUAUGGAAACUGUUAGAAUGAGAUUAGAAGCUGCCAACAACCUUCAAUCAUCAUUACUCACAGUGAGUCCUGAUGAGUAAUGGGAUGAUCAGUUAGUUGUACCUCCAAGUACAUGGAGGAUACUCUCAAAGAGAGAGAGAGCUGAGCCUCCAGAGGCUGAAGGACUGUCAGAUGGAGUCUGAACUCCUUGUUCAACUGAAGAUCAACAAUCUUGAAAAACAGAAACUGCAUUGUGGGAUGACAUGAAUUCUCAAAGGAUCAGAACUGGACGCUGGGACAAGCCAUGAAUGGAGAAGAGAAGACCUUGAGGAGAGAAGAGUCAGGGAGGAAAGAAAAAUAAGGGACAAAAUAUAGCAGUAAGGAACAUUUUUGAUGAUUCCAGAUAGGCCUGGAAAUCAAGAUUCCUCAUGGCCCUGCUUAUAAAAGGGUAUCAGGGACUGGCAUCUUGGAGAGCACUCAGUGGAUAAUCAAUAGAUACUUACUGACCGAAUGACUGAUCGACUAAUGCACUUUUCAUUUGGAUUCCAAGUGCAGAAGCCCUUGAGGAUGUGCUGGUUUUCCUCCAAGUGAUCUGAAAUUGACCUCUACUGCACGGUAGAAAGUUCACUGCUCUUUUGCAGAUGAGAAAGUUGAAAUACAGAGAGAAUUUAAAUACUCUCAAAGUCAAACAGGACGUUAGUGACAGCUACAAGCUGCAAUUAGAGGCCAGGCAUUCUGAUUGCCAGUCAAUUGAAUGUGGAGUCAUUGAACUGUUUUCUGACAUGAGUAGCUUUUAUCUGCCUGUUAAUCUCUCAUGUAUAAGCUAUAGCUCAUUGUAGUAUGAAUCUGCUUCUCUUUUUUAUUUUGUUUUCUUUAUUUUUGAGUGACUCUCAUAGGUAAAAAUGUAUCCAAUUAUCUACCAUGACGAUUGGUUAAAUUUUUUUUAAACUGAGGCAUAACUGACAUAUAAUAGUUUCAGGUGUAUAAUGUAAUGAUUCAAUAUUUGCAUAUAUCAUAAAAUGAUCACUGCAAGGAGUCUGGUUAACAACUAUCAUUAUAAAUAGAAUUUUCUUCCUUAAAAUGAGGAGUUUUAAGAUCCGCCAUGAUUGUUGCUUUUUGUUUCUUCGUUGGCCUUUUAAGAUCAGGAACUGUGCCUUAUAUAUUCUUACUAACACAGUACCUGACACUUGAUAGAUGUUUAAUAAAUAUUCACUGAGUGGAUAUUAUCAUUAAAAUGAUCUUUUUAGAGUCUGGACAAUUAACAUACUUAACUCCUCUUUACAUCGUCAAAGAAAGUUAAACUUAUAGUGUUAUUUCAUUCAUAGCAAUCUAUUCUUAAUGUUGAAUUACAUUUCCCUUGCCUAGUUAUUGUCCUUUAGGGGUUACACAAGAGAUUGAACUACCAUAACACUGUCCUUGGUUUGAUUCCUAAACUAUAGGCUAACCUAUGCCUUAAAUGCCCAAUCCACAGUAAGAAUAUAACAUUUAUAUAUUUAAGAGAAGAAAAUAACUUAACUGAAACAGGAGUCAGUUUAAGGAGACAGAAUUACUGCCCCCAAGUUAGAAAAAAAGCAUUUUAUCACUGACUCAUCUGAGCCAUAUGGAUUUCAUAACUGAUGAUUAGCUUCUCUUAAUCAGUUGAACAUCCAUUUAAGGGACAAAUUGAUUAGCUCCUUGCAUAAUUAACAGAACAUUAAGUACCAUCACUUUGAGUUGAAAAAAAUUGUUUUCAUUAACAGCAAAUAUGAACAGUUUAACAUUAAGACAUUAAAUGGAAUUAUCUCAAAUCAUUAUUAAUCUGUUUUUUCAAAAUUUUGAGGAAGUAUUUGCAGCUAGCUUAGUACCCAAUGUUUGUAAGUCCCAAAGCAUGUUCAUUUUUCUGGCUAGAGUUGAAUUUAAUAUACAUUUUCCACGAGAGAGUAAGAUUAUAAUAUACCAAUAUAUAAAUAAUAACCAACACUAGUAUUGAUCAAACUCUUACUAAUUCUCUACUUAGAGAAAUGGCAAGUAACAGUUCUGAGGCAUAGAACAAGAAAAAAAUAUUAAACUUUUACAAAUUAUUUGAAAAGUAUUUGGUGAGGAAUUGGAGAAAGAUUGGCAUGAAUGUUAAAAUGGGGGAAAUUGUUAUUAAAGAUGUCAGGAUCUAUAAAAAACAUGAUUCAUGAGCCAGUAGAAGUCACAGAAUUGAACAAUGUGGAAAUAUGCAAGAACAGGACUGAACAAUAUGUUAGAAAAUUAAAGAUGUGAGAGGCUCUGCCUGCUGUCACCAGGUCCAAGAAGAUAUUCCAGUGGGGAAAAACACCUGGGAAAUGAAUCUUACAAUUGACAGGGGGUCAGCAAAGUUGUUUAAAGAUGUGCUAUGUCAGUAGUCAUAAAAAUUGCACUUAAUUACACAAACACAUAAUUAAAGCCAAGCAUUCAGAACAUUAGAGCUGUGUCAUUCUGAGACAGACAGUAGUUGAUUCUGACUACACCUUGGGCACUGAGGACCUAAUUAGCCUUUUCAAGAAAGUGUGCAGGUAUCAGUCAAUUCUGGAAUUAGUGCUGCGUAGGACAUUUGUUAAUGGAGACAAUGUAAUACUUGAAAUUGAUGAGGCCUCGGGCAAGUUUCAAACAGAAGUUUAGGAAUUUAAUGAACAAACAUGGAGGAAAUUCAGUUUAGACUUGUUUCUAAGAGUCUACUUGUGCAAAAUACACCUUUUUAAUUCAUCUCAAAUUACAGUCUCAGUAGAGAUUAGUUUGAAAGAGAACCAUUUUGUAGGCUCCAAUCAAUAGGAUACCAAAGACCUAAUCUAAAACAGUCAUGUUAUUUUAACAUUAUUACAUUCUACUAGUUCACCAAGAGUUGCUUGGCUGUGACAAUGUAAAUGUUACCCCGAGUGGUAAUUGCUGAGAAACAGUCAAAUAAUACCAGUUCCACUAGAUCAGCUUCUCAAAUAGUGUUUGCAAGUGCCUGGCUAGCAAGUUGAAAAUACAGAUUUCCAGGAUCAUCCUCAGUGAUUCUGAUUCAGUAAGCUUGGGGUGGGACCUAGGAAUCUGCACUUUUAACAAACACUGAUAGGAGAUCCACUGGCCAUUCUUUGAGAAUCCCAUGCAAGCCAAGAGCUUCUUGAGGGUAAGGACCAUUAUUUAUUGUUUAUAAAAAAUUCAGGACUUUAUGUAAUGAUGCUUAGUAAUAGUUAAAUCAUUCAUUGAGUCAAUAAAUA